GUGCUCCUUUUGACAUAUACUAAAAUUAGAACAAUACAGAGAUUAGCGUGGCCACUGCACAAAGAUGACAUGCAAAUUCGUGAAGCAUUCUUUAUUUUU
RNAcentral lists this small nuclear RNA (99 nucleotides) under Pteropus alecto (black flying fox). The record is from RNAcentral. Lineage: Eukaryota; Metazoa; Chordata; Mammalia; Chiroptera; Pteropodidae.